GGGUCCAUAGUUCAAUGGUAGAAUUGACGGCUCCAGACCGUUAGAUGAGGGUUCAAUUCCCUCUGGACCCA
RNAcentral lists this transfer RNA (71 nucleotides) under Candidatus Pacearchaeota archaeon. Its description in RNAcentral is "tRNA-Trp". It matches the Rfam family "tRNA". Rfam says of the family: Transfer RNA (tRNA) molecules are approximately 80 nucleotides in length. The record is from RNAcentral. Lineage: Archaea; Nanobdellati.